Molecule: non-coding RNA, 114 nt
Organism: Acanthosepion pharaonis
Lineage: Eukaryota; Metazoa; Mollusca; Cephalopoda; Sepiida; Sepiidae
Source: the annotation of a GenBank genome assembly
UUACGGCUAUAUCACGUUGAAACAAUUGUUCUCGUCCGAUCGCCGACGUUAAGCAACGUCGAGCCUUGUCAGUACGUAAGUGGGUGACCGCUUGGGAAUACCAGGUGUUGUAAG